RNAcentral lists this unclassified non-coding RNA (398 nucleotides) under soil metagenome. RNAcentral's name for it is "partial contains 5.8S ribosomal RNA, internal transcribed spacer 2, and large subunit ribosomal RNA". The stretch from base 1 to 122 matches the Rfam family "5.8S ribosomal RNA", at positions 35 to 154 of the family's 154-position model. The record is from RNAcentral.
GAUGAAGAACGUAGCGAAAUGCGAUACUUGGUGUGAAUUGCAGAAUCCCGUGAACCAUCGAGUUUUUGAACGCAAGUUGCGCCCGAAGCCGUUAGGCCGAGGGCACGCCUGCCUGGGUGUCACACAUCGUUGCCCCAAUGCCAAUCGCCUCACUUUGUAGGUAUUUGCUUGGGGUGAAUGUUGGCCUCCCGUGAGCUUUGUCUCACGGUUGGUUGAAAAUCGAGUCCUUGGUAGGGUGUGCCAUGAUAGAUGGUGGUCGAGUUUGCACGAGACCGAUCAUGUGUGCGCUCCCCAAAAUAUGGACUCUUUGACCCCACACGCGUCUUUUGACGCUCAUGACGAGACCUCAGGUCAGGCGGGGCUACCCGCUGAGUUUAAGCAUAUCAAUAAGCGGAGGA